Molecule: ribosomal RNA, 419 nt
Filed under: uncultured bacterium
Lineage: Bacteria
Description: bacterial SSU rRNA
Rfam family: Bacterial small subunit ribosomal RNA
Source: RNAcentral
GUUUGAUCCUGGCUCAGAUUGAACGCUGGCGGCAGGCCUAACACAUGCAAGUCGAACGGUAACAGGAAACAGCUUGCUGUUUCGCUGACGAGUGGCGGACGGGUGAGUAAUGUCUGGGAAACUGCCUGAUGGAGGGGGAUAACUACUGGAAACGGUAGCUAAUACCGCAUAACGUCGCAAGACCAAAGAGGGGGACCUUCGGGCCUCUUGCCAUCGGAUGUGCCCAGAUGGGAUUAGCUAGUAGGUGGGGUAACGGCUCACCUAGGCGACGAUCCCUAGCUGGUCUGAGAGGAUGACCAGCCACACUGGAACUGAGACACGGUCCAGACUCCUACGGGAGGCAGCAGUGGGGAAUAUUGCACAAUGGGCGCAAGCCUGAUGCAGCCAUGCCGCGUGUAUGAAGAAGGCCUUCGGGUUGU